Molecule: long non-coding RNA, 4180 nt
Organism: Cynoglossus semilaevis (tongue sole)
Lineage: Eukaryota; Metazoa; Chordata; Actinopteri; Pleuronectiformes; Cynoglossidae
Exons: 15
Source: RefSeq, a predicted model, not a curated record
GUAGAUUGAAACUAGAACAUCAUUUAUUUCAUUACAUGUACUUUAUAUAAUGUAUUUUGAUUUAGAUUGAGGUGUUUGUGUUUUUAAUUGCAUCACAUCAGUCAAGUCUGACCUUGUCAUUGACCUUUGCUUGACUCAUGGACAUACAAUGAGUUUGGUCCCAGGUCUGACUUCUAACGAGAUAGCAAUCUGAAUGCUGCUUAGAUAAUAAAAUAAUUAGCAUCUUAUUGCCACCAUAUACAGUUGUAGCUCUGACAGCCUCAUUGACCCCGCUGAGAUACGCUUCAUAGAAGUGCCUUUGAUACACUGUACGAUUAUGUUAAUUAUUAGGUAAAAUGAGAUGCUAUCAUAAACUGCUGCUGAAUUAUACUCCAAUAAAUGUAUUAAAUCAUCCCUGUCCUCACUCACCUCCUGCGUCAGACUUACACUACAGGGUUGAGAACAAGAGCAGAGCUUCAGCAGGGGCAGUGGUCCAUGACUAACCUUUAGCAUGCCUGUGUUUACUGUUUGGAUCAUCUCUUAAUUUUGUGUUGCUGUUAAAAAUAGAAAUUCCUAAUAAGUAAAGGAAGUACAGGAAGAAACCAUGUAGUCACCAUGUUUUUAGGACAACCUGUCCUAAAAACAUGGUGAGUACAUGGUUACAGUUCAUGGUUUCAGUUCAGGUACAGUGGUGACUAAAUAUGGAAACUUCCUGAAAAUUGAACUGUUGAUAACAACAGUGAUAUUGAUUAGGUAAUGACAAUUAGUGCCGUUAAUAAGUAAGUAUAAGGAGAUCAAAGUCAUGAUGUGUUAUGACAAAAUUAAAUUGUCAUUCUGUGCUAUUAUCCACCAUUUGACUUGUACUAAGACUCUAAGAAUGUAGUGAGUGGAAAAACAAUUCAACAAACAGCCUGACCUUAUGUCUGCUUGUCAUUGAUGGGAGAUGCUCCUCAUUAUCUUUUCUCCGUUUUCUCUAAGACUGAGUUUCUGUUAGGCCAAGUAUCCAACUCACUAUAAAUGUAACUUGUACUCAUUUACAUCUUGAUUAAAACUAGUGCUGUCAAGAUUGAUCUAAAUAUAACAAUUUUACACAGUGUAUGAAGUAGGAAGUCUGUUCUUUUCUCCCAUCAGUUUGUGGAACAUUCUGUCAGGGUUCAGUCUAAUACCAAGUUCACCUCGUCUAAAAAAAGAAAAUCAAUCCACUGUGCAGCACACUCAUCAUGAUUAGGUCACCCAAUGGCGUAAAAAAAAACCCAACAACUUCUCCACCUUCUUCACACUUUACUUGCGUCCUUUCAGUCAGUUCUCCCUGGAGGGUUUGCAUAGCUGCAGCUGUAGCAACAGGUCAAGGUCGGGGUUGACAGAUAGCAUUAGGUGAGACAGGGCAGACACUCACACUCUGGCUCAUGUCUUUAGUCCUCAGUCUUUUUUUUUUCAGCUUCUUUUUGUAAACUUCUGAGACAUGAGGAUUGAAGGAAGUCGGCGAUGAAGAUGGUUUCUCUUUGAUGUCUGGCGAUUCAGUGUACGGUUAACAAAGAUGGACAAUGUUGACACCCGUUGGUCUCACAGGAAGUGCGGUCGGAUGAUAUCCUGUGUCGCAAGGCCAGAGGGAAACAGGAGGAUUUGAUUCUCUCGCUCGACCAGGCGAGACCACUCCGUGAUGAGGUGCUGAUGUCCAACAGAGCUGUAGAAGUCACAUCCACAUUUUUCAUCUCACCUGGAGGAUACUAUUACCACACUGACAGAAGGCGGCUGAUAUUUAGCUGAGCCUUUCUGCUCUGCGCAGAGAUCAAAGUUAAGACCUGGCCCGUGGUGGUGGUGGUGGAGGUGAUGCUGCUUGACUGACAAUGCAGCGACCAUACGUUUGAUAUGGCUUCUCUACAGGAAGUCUAGAGGAGGUGGUGAUAUUGCAGUACGGAGUCUGACAGCUACUGUUACAACUCAAAGAAAAGGACAGUUGAGCAUGACUUUUUUAGCCAAGCUGUACGGAGGUCGCCAUGAUGGGGUGCCAUGGCUGCAGUCUGACCUGGUGCUACCCCUCGCCUUUUACCCAUGGGGCUGUCAUGGUACCUUUGCGGUUGAUGGAUUUUCUUCCACUGAUUUGAAAGACGUGAGCAGAUCCCUCUGAGGUGAAGACGGUGAGGUGGACCUUCACUUGCUAUUACGCAGGACAUCAAAAAAACUGUUCAAAGAAGCUCAGCGUCGUCUCUUCACUGUCAAGGUUGCUGGCACGUCCAGAGACAGCGAGUCAUUGGCUCCAUCUCACACUGGCUUAACCUUACAGUACCGAGCCCCUGCUGACAGUCAGUGAUGGACAAGCUCCUUGAACAUUAAAGGGAGCUAAGCUACUAGCUCCUUUACAAUAAAUGAAGGCUCAGCUCACAGAUGUUGCCAGAACGAAAAGUGCAGCGAGGUAGUUAUACGUUGAAUAGACUCAGCAGGAACCAAGUAGUCGACUACAUCUGAUGGUACUGUGGACCAAAUCAGAUGAAUGAUGGUUCAGGUGGGACGGCCAUCGUCUUCAUUUUGGAGUCAUCAGUGGGAGCUGACACGUGGGUUUUUCACCAAACAUGCUGUGUUUUUCCUGCAUUCGCUGAUGGUUUCACAAAGGUUCUUCACUAGUCUGCCUGCAGUAGUGAUCCAGUGAGUGAUGAAGACUACAGAGCAGCUCACACCGGAAUUCAACAAGAAGAGAAACAUUGUCAUGAACCCACAAGGUCAAAUAAAGACUGAGAGGUUAUCACAGGACUGUACCAGACCGUCCAGCAGAACUGAACCUACUUUCUGUGGCAGAUCCAGCCGACACUGCUGGUACAUCACGGCAGCCUUCACCUCAUUGAACACAAACAAGGGGAGAGGAUUCAAAGCCGUAUAGAAAGACCAUCAGGAGUCACCAGGAGCCAGACCUGUGAUCGUCCUGCUGUCAGCGUUUUAAAAGGUGGACACGGCAACAUGAGAACCUGUAGCCAGGAGAACACGUGGGCGGACCAGACUGGGGAAUACCAUCGGGGUGGCCUUAAUGAUGUUUGUUUCCAACAUGAAAACACUUCAGCAGCCAGUGAUACAUGAGCCCACACUGUGCUCUUUGUCUCAGACCACAUUUCCUUGGUGUAAUCAGCGAUGUGUCAAAGAAACUAGUCUAUGGCCAGAUUGGAGGGGUUUCCAGGCCGGAUUCUGCACACGAGCCACCAGUUGAUGAGCGCUGCUGUACACAUGCCUCCAAAGGACAAAGGAGUUGUAACGAUGUGGAAUGUGAGAUACGAGAUUGCAACCUUUUUUAUGUUUCUGUCACUUUAUCACUCCACUGUCACUCUAUCCUGUUCCGUUGUCUUAUAUCGAGGGUGAAAGCAUGUUUAGGACAGGGAGAGGGAGAGAGAGAAACUGAGAGAGGUCAUUCAUGGCUGUCUGUCCAUAGCAAUUACAUUAACCAGGACAGUGUGUCUGUUUUGGUUGUUAGUGUUAGCUAGGGCUGCCGCGUCCCUCUGCACUGUCUUUACAACUGAUCGACUCUCCCCCGAGAGCCACUUAGUCUGUCCUCCAUCCAGCCUCUUGAGUUACAGCUCACACACCCACCCACACACACACAUACACACAUACACAUGCUCCCGUCAGAGAAGUCACCAUCUGGGCACUCAAACAUACACAUACACAAACACGCAUACACAUAGGCAACAAUGGAACACAUGGAAAUACUCAAAAAUAUCUGGUACUUCUCCAGUAUAUAUCUUCAAGCAUGACAAUGCAUGUGGUGUCCUGUUGACCCUUCAAGGUCAUGUCAUACCUCAGAGGUCUGCAGUCCAGAGAUACGACAUAAGAUGUGCUUUUAGUUCAAGCUCUUUGCAGUAAUCACAGAAGGCAGCAGAUGGUGAUAGAAUUCAGUUACGUAGGUGAGUGAAAUACAGCAAGUGGUUGGAAGUUUGUGAUUCUACGUACUAUUGAUGCAGUUCAUUGUAUGAAAAAUCAAAUAUAUCUGCAGCUAGACAGUGAUUCACAGUAAACUGACCUGGAACAAGGUUCAUUCUGUUCUUAUUUAAACUGCCAUUCUCUACUACAAUAAGCGCAGUCAUGGUCCUGCUAAAAAUAUUUUUGAGUUCCUGGGAAAAGACAUUGUAUUAAAGGUAUCGCUUGUCUUUCUAAGAAUAUAAAAAAGUCCUCCAUAUGAAGGGAGCCUUCACAAAAGUUUAAACUUUGAACAUGUUAA